This 417-nucleotide ribosomal RNA is filed under the name uncultured eukaryote. Its description in RNAcentral is "bacterial SSU rRNA". It matches the Rfam family "Eukaryotic small subunit ribosomal RNA", at positions 592 to 1018 of the family's 1831-position model. The record is from RNAcentral.
CAAUAGCGUAUAUUAAAGUUGUUGCAGUUAAAAAGCUCGUAGUUGGAUUUCUGGCCGAGUGUCCCUAGGCCAGCAUGACGUUUGGUCCUAGGCGCUCUGCCAUCCUUCUGUCAACCUUCGCCUUCUUCAUUGGGGGCGCUGGGGCUCAGAUAUUUUACCUUGAGAAAAUUAGAGUGUUUCAGGCAGGCUUUCGCCGGAAUACAUUAGCAUGGAAUAAUGGAAAAGGACUUCAACCUCUUCUGUUGGUCUGAGAGGCUGUAGUAAUGAUUAAUAGGGAUAGUUGGGGGCAUUCGUACUUGUAAGUCAGAGGUGAAAUUCUUCGAUUUUACAAAGACGAACUAAUGCGAAGGCAUCUGCCAAGGAUGUUUUCAUUGAUCAAGAACGAAAGACAGGGGAUCAAAGAUGAUCAGAUACCAU